AGUGAACGCUGGCGGUAGGCCUAACACAUGCAAGUCGAACGGCAGCACAGUAAGAGCUUGCUCUUACGGGUGGCGAGUGGCGGACGGGUGAGGAAUACAUCGGAAUCUACUUUUUCGUGGGGGAUAACGUAGGGAAACUUACGCUAAUACCGCAUACGACCUACGGGUGAAAGCAGGGGAUCUUCGGACCUUGCGCGAUUGAAUGAGCCGAUGUCGGAUUAGCUAGUUGGCGGGUUAAAGGCCCACCAAGGCGACGAUCCGUAGCUGGUCUGAGAGGAUGAUCAGCCACACUGGAACUGAGACACGGUCCAGACUCCUACGGGAGGCAGCAGUGGGGAAUAUUGGACAAUGGGGGCAAGCCUGAUCCAGCCAUACCGCGUGGGUGAAGAAGGCCUUCGGGUUGUAAAGCCCUUUUGUUGGGAAAGAAAAGCAGCAGGUUAAUACCCCGCUGUUCUGACGGUACCCAAAGAAUAAGCACCGGCUAACUUCGUG
This 492-nucleotide ribosomal RNA is filed under the name uncultured bacterium. RNAcentral describes it as "partial 16S ribosomal RNA". It matches the Rfam family "Bacterial small subunit ribosomal RNA", at positions 29 to 507 of the family's 1533-position model. The record is from RNAcentral.